Aquila chrysaetos chrysaetos is the source of this 217-nucleotide long non-coding RNA. RefSeq lists it as uncharacterized. The transcript has 3 exons. Lineage: Eukaryota; Metazoa; Chordata; Aves; Accipitriformes; Accipitridae. The record is from RefSeq and is a predicted model, not a curated record.
GAGCACCCAUCCAUCCCCCUGCACCAGGGACCCAGGUGUCCGAGCACCCAUCCAUACCUCCACCAGGGACCAGGUGUCCAGCACCCAUCCAUCCCCUGCACCAGGGACCCAGGUCCGGCACCCAUCCUCCCCUCCACCAGGGACCCAGGGCCACCCAUCCAUCCCCUGACCAGGGACCCAGGUGUCCAACGCCCAUCCAUCCCCUCCACCAGGGACC